This 629-nucleotide small RNA is filed under the name Histoplasma ohiense. RNAcentral's name for it is "hypothetical lncRNA". The record is from RNAcentral. Lineage: Eukaryota; Fungi; Ascomycota; Eurotiomycetes; Onygenales; Ajellomycetaceae.
GAGCAACUACCGGGGCGGAAGCACACAGGUCGGCGUGGACGCCCAUUUUCCAACAUACGCAUCCGCCUUGACCCUUCUAACCGUUAUGAUUUUACCGGCCCAUCACCAAAACCGCACUCCAUAAUAGUUAUCCUAGGUGUGGCGCCUUUUCCAGCCCGCAAAAGGGGCUGGAAAUACUCGGUGCCUUUCUCAAGCGAAAUAAGAUAGAUAUCCGAAUCCCGGAGGGAUCGACAAUCUAAUAUCCAUUACAUAUCAAAAUACCUAUAGAACUCGCCUAAUGCAUGCGGAAAGUUUGAACUCUUACCCGCCAUACUGCACCUCCUCAAUUACCACCUGGGGGACAGUGGUAACCGUUCUUCGGGCAUCACAAUAAUGCCCAUAUGCAUGACAUGCGUAGAAUGACGCUUGCAAGGAGCUUUCCUGGGAGGGAUCCCUUUUCCAACAUCAUCUUCGCUUUAUUAUUAUAUCCUUAAAAAGGGGAAUCCCCUCUUAUUAUGCUGUUUGCUAAUCAUGCCCUUAUGAAAUAAGGAUCAGAGCUUGCAUGGUGAUGCAUUGUUUAUAUAGGGAAACGCUUUCCCGACCAGCCUUUCCUAAAUCCACACCAAAUGGCAUUAGAAAAGAAAAAUCAG